This 72-nucleotide transfer RNA is filed under the name Biomphalaria glabrata. It matches the Rfam family "tRNA". Rfam says of the family: Transfer RNA (tRNA) molecules are approximately 80 nucleotides in length. Lineage: Eukaryota; Metazoa; Mollusca; Gastropoda; Planorbidae. The record is from Rfam by way of RNAcentral.
GGCGUGGUGGCUACGCGGUAAAGCGCUUGGCUUCUGAACUAGGGGUCCCGGGUUCAAAUCCCGGUAAAGACU